AGUGUGAGGAUGCCUUUGUUUCACAUCUCUCUGGAUAUAAGAAAGCUAAGGUUAGAGCUCUUUUUUUAUUCUGAAAUCAUUCGCACUGAUUUGUCGUCCAACCAUCAGUCCUCCCUUGUUUCUGAUUUCUCAUGGAUAUGGCGUCUAAAAGUUGCUCCCAGAGUUCGCAUUUUCUGGUGGAAACUGUGCUGGGGUUGUUUACCUUGUAAGGUCUAGCUAUCUUCUAGAGGAUUGCUUCACCAACGGACUACCUUGUGUAAACUAUGCUCUUCAGAAAAUGAAGAUCUGGAACACUGCCUUCUCAAAUGUCCACAGGUGACUGUGGAAUGAGGUGUGUUGGGACAAAUCAGUCGCCCCC
This 358-nucleotide long non-coding RNA is filed under the name Elaeis guineensis (African oil palm). Its description in RNAcentral is "long non-coding RNA (EGUI_LNC015306)". Lineage: Eukaryota; Viridiplantae; Streptophyta; Magnoliopsida; Arecales; Arecaceae. The record is from RNAcentral.